UACGUAGGUGGCAAGCGUUGUCCGGAUUUACUGGGCGUAAAGAGCGCGCAGGCGGUCAGAUAAGUCGAAUGUGAAAGCCCCCGGCUCAACUGGGGAGGGUCAUUCGAUACUGUUCGACUCGAAGGCAGGAGAGGGAAGUGGAAUUCCCGGUGUAGUGGUGAAAUGCGUAGAUAUCAGGAGGAACACCGGUGGCGAAGGCGGUUCUCUGGGCAUGACCUGACGCUGAGGAGCGAAAGUGUGGGGAGCGAACAGG
This 253-nucleotide ribosomal RNA is filed under the name uncultured bacterium. Its description in RNAcentral is "partial 16S ribosomal RNA". It matches the Rfam family "Bacterial small subunit ribosomal RNA", at positions 524 to 776 of the family's 1533-position model. The record is from RNAcentral.